This 2907-nucleotide ribosomal RNA is filed under the name Klebsiella pasteurii. RNAcentral describes it as "23S ribosomal RNA". It matches the Rfam family "Bacterial large subunit ribosomal RNA". The record is from RNAcentral. Lineage: Bacteria; Pseudomonadati; Pseudomonadota; Gammaproteobacteria; Enterobacterales; Enterobacteriaceae.
GGUUAAGCGACUAAGCGUACACGGUGGAUGCCCUGGCAGUCAGAGGCGAUGAAGGACGUGCUAAUCUGCGAAAAGCGUCGGUAAGGUGAUAUGAACCGUUACAGCCGGCGAUGUCCGAAUGGGGAAACCCAGUGCAAUUCGUUGCACUAUCGUUUGAUGAAUACAUAGUCAAACGAGGCGAACCGGGGGAACUGAAACAUCUAAGUACCCCGAGGAAAAGAAAUCAACCGAGAUUCCCCCAGUAGCGGCGAGCGAACGGGGAGCAGCCCGGAGUCUGAAUCAGCUUGUGUGUUAGUGGAAGCGUCUGGAAAGUCGCAGGGUACAGGGUGAUACUCCCGUACACUAAAACAUACAGGUUGUGAACUCGAAGAGUAGGGCGGGACACGUGGUAUCCUGUCUGAAUAUGGGGGGACCAUCCUCCAAGGCUAAAUACUCCUGACUGACCGAUAGUGAACCAGUACCGUGAGGGAAAGGCGAAAAGAACCCCGGCGAGGGGAGUGAAAAAGAACCUGAAACCGUGUACGUACAAGCAGUAGGAGCCCACUUGUUGGGUGACUGCGUACCUUUUGUAUAAUGGGUCAGCGACUUAUAUUCUGUAGCAAGGUUAACCGUAUAGGGGAGCCGCAGGGAAACCGAGUCUUAACUGGGCGUUAAGUUGCAGGGUAUAGACCCGAAACCCGGUGAUCUAGCCAUGGGCAGGUUGAAGGUUGGGUAACACUAACUGGAGGACCGAACCGACUAAUGUUGAAAAAUUAGCGGAUGACUUGUGGCUGGGGGUGAAAGGCCAAUCAAACCGGGAGAUAGCUGGUUCUCCCCGAAAGCUAUUUAGGUAGCGCCUCGUGAAUUCAUCUUCGGGGGUAGAGCACUGUUUCGGCUAGGGGGUCAUCCCGACUUACCAACCCGAUGCAAACUACGAAUACCGAAGAAUGUUAUCACGGGAGACACACGGCGGGUGCUAACGUCCGUCGUGAAGAGGGAAACAACCCAGACCGCCAGCUAAGGUCCCAAAGUCAUGGUUAAGUGGGAAACGAUGUGGGAAGGCCCAGACAGCCAGGAUGUUGGCUUAGAAGCAGCCAUCAUUUAAAGAAAGCGUAAUAGCUCACUGGUCGAGUCGGCCUGCGCGGAAGAUGUAACGGGGCUAAACCAUGCACCGAAGCUGCGGCAGCGACACUAUGUGUUGUUGGGUAGGGGAGCGUUCUGUAAGCCGUUGAAGGUGGCCUGUGAGGGUUGCUGGAGGUAUCAGAAGUGCGAAUGCUGACAUAAGUAACGAUAAUGCGGGUGAAAAACCCGCACGCCGGAAGACCAAGGGUUCCUGUCCAACGUUAAUCGGGGCAGGGUGAGUCGACCCCUAAGGCGAGGCCGAAAGGCGUAGUCGAUGGGAAACAGGUUAAUAUUCCUGUACUUGGUGUUACUGCGAAGGGGGGACGGAGAAGGCUAUGUUGGCCGGGCGACGGUUGUCCCGGUUUAAGCAUGUAGGCGGAUGUUCCAGGUAAAUCCGGAACGUUAUUAACGCUGAGGUGUGAUGACGAGGCACUACGGUGCUGAAGUGACAAAUGCCCUGCUUCCAGGAAAAGCCUCUAAGCAUCAGGUAACAUCAAAUCGUACCCCAAACCGACACAGGUGGUCAGGUAGAGAAUACCAAGGCGCUUGAGAGAACUCGGGUGAAGGAACUAGGCAAAAUGGUGCCGUAACUUCGGGAGAAGGCACGCUGAUACGUAGGUGAAGUGAUUUACUCAUGGAGCUGAAAUCAGUCGAAGAUACCAGCUGGCUGCAACUGUUUAUUAAAAACACAGCACUGUGCAAACACGAAAGUGGACGUAUACGGUGUGACGCCUGCCCGGUGCCGGAAGGUUAAUUGAUGGGGUUAUCCGUAAGGAGAAGCUCUUGAUCGAAGCCCCGGUAAACGGCGGCCGUAACUAUAACGGUCCUAAGGUAGCGAAAUUCCUUGUCGGGUAAGUUCCGACCUGCACGAAUGGCGUAAUGAUGGCCAGGCUGUCUCCACCCGAGACUCAGUGAAAUUGAACUCGCUGUGAAGAUGCAGUGUACCCGCGGCAAGACGGAAAGACCCCGUGAACCUUUACUAUAGCUUGACACUGAACACUGGUCCUUGAUGUGUAGGAUAGGUGGGAGGCUUUGAAGCGUGGACGCCAGUCUGCGUGGAGCCAUCCUUGAAAUACCACCCUUUAAUGGCUGGUGUUCUAACGUGGGCCCCUAAUCGGGGUUGCGGACAGUGUCUGGUGGGUAGUUUGACUGGGGCGGUCUCCUCCUAAAGAGUAACGGAGGAGCACGAAGGUCAGCUAAUCCUGGUCGGACAUCAGGAGGUUAGUGCAAUGGCAUAAGCUGGCUUGACUGCGAGCGUGACGGCGCGAGCAGGUGCGAAAGCAGGUCAUAGUGAUCCGGUGGUUCUGAAUGGAAGGGCCAUCGCUCAACGGAUAAAAGGUACUCCGGGGAUAACAGGCUGAUACCGCCCAAGAGUUCAUAUCGACGGCGGUGUUUGGCACCUCGAUGUCGGCUCAUCACAUCCUGGGGCUGAAGUAGGUCCCAAGGGUAUGGCUGUUCGCCAUUUAAAGUGGUACGCGAGCUGGGUUUAGAACGUCGUGAGACAGUUCGGUCCCUAUCUGCCGUGGGCGCUGGAGAAUUGAGGGGGGCUGCUCCUAGUACGAGAGGACCGGAGUGGACGCAUCACUGGUGUUCGGGUUGUCAUGCCAAUGGCAUUGCCCGGUAGCUAAAUGCGGAAGAGAUAAGUGCUGAAAGCAUCUAAGUACGAAACUUGCCCCGAGAUGAGUUCUCCCUGACUCCUUGAGAGUCCUGAAGGAACGUUGAAGACGACGACGUUGAUAGGCCGGGUGUGUAAGCGCAGCGAUGCGUUGAGCUAACCGGUACUAAUGAACCGUGAGGCUUAACCUU